UACGGGGGGGGUAAGCGUUGUUCGGAAUUACUGGGCGUAAAGCGCACGUAGGCGGCUUUGUAAGUUAGAGGUGAAAGCCCGGGGCUCAACUCCGGAACUGCCUUUAAGACUGCAUCGCUUGAAUCCGGGAGAGGUGAGUGGAAUUCCGAGUGUAGAGGUGAAAUUCGUAGAUAUUCGGAAGAACACCAGUGGCGAAGGCGGCUCACUGGACCGGUAUUGACGCUGAGGUGCGAAAGCGUGGGGAGCAAACAGG
This 253-nucleotide ribosomal RNA is filed under the name uncultured bacterium. RNAcentral's name for it is "partial 16S ribosomal RNA". It matches the Rfam family "Bacterial small subunit ribosomal RNA", at positions 524 to 776 of the family's 1533-position model. The record is from RNAcentral.